CAUGAACAUGCUGAAUCACAGAAUCAAGAAUCUCAUCAGUGAAAGAACCCCAAGAGAACAUCCAGUUCCAUUUAUAUUCAGAAAAACCUGGAUUGAUAUAGAGACACAUAAUUAAUGCUUAUUCAUCACCUUUUCUGCCUGGUCUCGAACUACAGUGAAGAAGAUAGCCAAAGCUUGCCUUCAUGGAGCUUACAUUCUGGGAACAAUGAAAAAUGAACACGUAGACCGUGAUAGCACCACGAUGCACAGAAACAACUUGUCGAAGUUGGCUAGAAUACUAAAGGAAACCUGAUCUGAAGAGUGAGCAUUUGUGUUGAAACCUACAAGAUGGGACUGAGCCAAACCAGCAAAGAGCUGGAUGAGGAGUGCUCAUGGCAGGGGAAAUAGCAAUUGCAGAAUCAUGAAAAGGGGCUUAUUCAAGAAACAGAAAAAGGAUCAAUAUGGCUGGGGUGCAGUGUGAGGUCUGAGAGAAGUUUGCAGCCUCUACUAAGAGCAAAGAAAGCCAUUCAAUGAGUUUCAAGCAGGCUUAUGGCACUUCCAGGAAGCAGAGGCAUGGAUACCCUCAUUGCCCUCUCUCAACUUCUGCCUCCACCAUUCCAGCAGAACAA
Molecule: long non-coding RNA, 608 nt
Organism: Leopardus geoffroyi (Geoffroy's cat)
Lineage: Eukaryota; Metazoa; Chordata; Mammalia; Carnivora; Felidae
Exons: 3
Source: RefSeq, a predicted model, not a curated record